AUGUCUCGGAUGUUAUCAUUAACAUGGCAACCAUUAACAGCGAAUUUUCAAAUGUGAUGUUAAAAGUGGCAGCGAUUUUGUUGCAAAAACAGUUAAUGUGGUAAUAUGGGGUAAUAAAAGAGCAAAGCUCAUGAAUCAGUCAAUAAAGCUGAGAGAAAGUCACAAAACAAGUACUACCCCCCUGACUGGGACCCCAGCAAGGGCUCGGUCAACAAACAUUUUGGUCAACACCCCCUCCGUGACAGAGCAAAGAAGAUUUCACAGGGCAUUCUUGUCAUCAGAUCGAUCUACUUGUACAGUGAACAACAGAAAGCAAGAAGGUGACGGCAAAUGUCAUGGCCAAAGUUUCAAUGUAUAACUUUUUAAAUUUUUCUAGCAGUGAAUAUAGUAAAUAUUAUUAAAGAAAGAUCCUUAGGUACAUGUAGGUGUUGUAUAAAAAGUAAAUGAUUUUUUUUUUACUUUUUUGGGCUAUGGAAGUAGCGAU
This is a long non-coding RNA of Magallana angulata, 484 nucleotides long. RefSeq lists it as uncharacterized. The record is from RefSeq and is a predicted model, not a curated record. NCBI's taxonomy places the organism in Eukaryota, Metazoa, Mollusca, Bivalvia, Ostreida, Ostreidae. The transcript has 3 exons.